AGAGUUUGAUCAUGGCUCAGAAUCAACGCUGGCGGCGUGCCUAACACAUGCAAGUCGAACGCGAAAGCCCCGCAAGGGGUAAGUAGAGUGGCAAACGGGUGAGUAACACGUGGGUGACCUGCCUUCGAGUGGGGGAUAACGUCCCGAAAGGGACGCUAAUACCGCAUGACAUCCUGCUUUUGAAAAAGCGGAGAUCAAAGCUGGGGAUCGCAAGACCUAGCGCUUGAAGAGGGGCCCGCGCCUGAUUAGCUAGUUGGUGAGGUAACGGCUCACCAAGGCGACGAUCAGUAUCCGGUCUGAGAGGGCGGACGGACACACUGGGACUGAGACACGGCCCAGACUCCUACGGGAGGCAGCAGUGGGGAAUUGUUCGCAAUGGGCGCAAGCCUGACGACGCAACGCCGCGUGGAGGACGAAGAUCUUCGGGUCGUAAACUCCUGUCGAGCGGGACGAACGCUUCGCGGACGAAUAAUCCGCGGAAUUGACGGUACCGCUAAAGAGCCC
Molecule: ribosomal RNA, 504 nt
Filed under: uncultured Acidobacteriaceae bacterium
Lineage: Bacteria; Pseudomonadati; Acidobacteriota; Terriglobia; Terriglobales; Acidobacteriaceae
Description: bacterial SSU rRNA
Rfam family: Bacterial small subunit ribosomal RNA
Source: RNAcentral